AGGACGAACGCUGGCGGCGUGCUUAACACAUGCAAGUCGAGCGGUAAGGCCUUUCGGGGUACACGAGCGGCGAACGGGUGAGUAACACGUGGGUGAUCUGCCCUGCACUUCGGGAUAAGCCUGGGAAACUGGGUCUAAUACCGGAUAUGACCUCCUAUCGCAUGGUGGGUGGUGGAAAGAUUUAUCGGUGCAGGAUGGGCCCGCGGCCUAUCAGCUUGUUGGUGGGUAAUGGCCUACCAAGGCGACGACGGGUAGCCGACCUGAGAGGGUGACCGGCCACACUGGGACUGAGACACGGCCCAGACUCCUACGGGAGGCAGCAGUGGGGAAUAUUGCACAAUGGGCGAAAGCCUGAUGCAGCGACGCCGCGUGAGGAUGACGGCCUUCGGUUGUAAACCUCUUUCAGCAGGACGAAGCGCAAGUGACGGUACCUGCAGAAGAAGACACCGGCUAACUACGUACCAGCAGCCGC
This 472-nucleotide ribosomal RNA is filed under the name uncultured soil bacterium. Its description in RNAcentral is "bacterial SSU rRNA". It matches the Rfam family "Bacterial small subunit ribosomal RNA", at positions 26 to 518 of the family's 1533-position model. The record is from RNAcentral.